AGUAACCUGCCUUGGAGUGGGGAAUAACAGCUGGAAACAGCUGCUAAUACCGCAUAAUGCAGUUGGGUCGCAUGGCUCUGACUGCCAAAGAUUUAUCGCUCUGAGAUGGACUCGCGUCUGAUUAGCUAGUUGGCGGGGUAACGGCCCACCAAGGCGACGAUCAGUAGCCGGACUGAGAGGUUGGCCGGCCACAUUGGGACUGAGACACGGCCCAGACUCCUACGGAAGGCAGCAG
This 235-nucleotide ribosomal RNA is filed under the name uncultured bacterium. RNAcentral's name for it is "partial 16S ribosomal RNA". It matches the Rfam family "Bacterial small subunit ribosomal RNA", at positions 120 to 354 of the family's 1533-position model. The record is from RNAcentral.